RNAcentral lists this long non-coding RNA (1150 nucleotides) under Homo sapiens (human). RNAcentral's name for it is "HSALNT0167452". Lineage: Eukaryota; Metazoa; Chordata; Mammalia; Primates; Hominidae. The record is from RNAcentral.
CUGGACUGGGGGUAGCAGCAGAGGGGCGGCCAGCCUUGGGGAGCCGGCGGGAUCCAGAGCGGGGCUCCUCUCCGCACUUUGUAGCUGCGUUGCUCCGCUCCAUGCCCUGCCUCAGCCACUCCUCCUGGUUACCAGGCAAAAGGAAACACCUUGAGCUGGCCAGGAGCUACCAGCGUCUGUCUACACCUGGGAGUUCAGUGGCAUGACCAGGGCUCACUGCAACCUUGAUCUGGGCUCAAGUGAUCCUCCUACCUCAGCUUCCUGAGUAGCUAGGACCACAGGUGUGCACCAACCACACCCGACUAAUUUUUGUAGAGAUGAGAUCCCACUAUGUUACCCAGGCUGGUCUUGAACUCCUGGGCUCAGGUGAUCAUCCUGCCUUGGCUUCCCAAAGUACUGGGAUUAUAGGCUUGAGCCACCGUGCCUGGCCUGUGAUCAGAAUUCUCAUUUUUUUAGUCACUAAAAAUGCUGGGGGGCACUCCAUUCUCCAUUAUGUGAUUAGUUCACAUUGCAUGCUUGUAUCAAAACAUCAUAUAUACCCCACAAAUAUAUACAAAAAACUUUAAAAUUUUAAGUAUUAAUUGCUCAGGAAAAAAUUAAAAUGCUGGGGUGCUGAAAUCUCAAGGGCCCCAUUACAAAACUCCUUAGGAACCUCGCCCUCUCUCUGCUGUAAGGACUGGUUCCAGAAUGAGAGAAUUUAAAAGACAUUCCCCCCCCAAAAUGUUCAUAAUGUCACCCCGGAAACCUGCGAAUAUGUUAUAUUACAUGACCAGGGAGAAGUAAGGUUGCAGAUGGCAGUAAGGUUGCUAAUGGGCUGACCUUAAGAUAAGGAGAUGAUCCUGGAUUAUCUGGGUGGACCCAAUGUAAUCACAAGGGUCCUUAACUGUGGAAUAGUGAGGUGGCUGAGUCAGAGGCAGAGUGAUGCAAUGACUGAAAGACUUAACCAGCCAUCACCGGCUUUGAAUACGGAAGACGGUCAUGAGCCAGGGAAUGCAGGCAGGCUCUGGGAGCUGAAAAAAGCAAGAAAAUGGAUUCUCCCCUGGAGCCUCCAGAAGGGAUGCGGUCCUGCCAACCCCUUGUCAGUGAGCCAUUUCAGAUUUCUGACUUCCAGGACUGUAAGAAAAUAAACUUGUCUUGUUUUCAGCCACCA